RNAcentral lists this transfer RNA (81 nucleotides) under Candidatus Omnitrophota bacterium. Its description in RNAcentral is "tRNA-Leu". It matches the Rfam family "tRNA". From Rfam's summary of the family: Transfer RNA (tRNA) molecules are approximately 80 nucleotides in length. Their secondary structure includes four short double-helical elements and three loops (D, anti-codon, and T loops). The record is from RNAcentral. Lineage: Bacteria; Pseudomonadati; Candidatus Omnitrophota.
GCGGACGUGGUGGAAUGGCAGACACGAUAGCCUUAGGAGCUAUUGGGGCAACCCAUGGGGGUUCAAGUCCCUCCGUCCGCA